GUACACGCUGUGACUAGCAUAUCAAUAAGCGGAGGAAAAGGAACUAACAAGGAUUCCCUUAGUAACGGCGAGUGAAGCGGGAAGAGCUCAAAUUUGAAAUCUUCAAGGUUUUACCUUGACGAAUUGUAGUUUAAAGAAGUGUUUUCUGCUGAAGUUUUGGUAAAAGUUCUUUGGAAUAGGACAUCAUAGAGGGUGAGAAUCCCGUAUUUGACCAUUAUUUUCAGCUUUGUGAUACACUUUCAAAGAGUCGGAUUGUUUGGGAAUGCAGUCCAAAAUGAGGUGGUAAAUUUCAUCUAAAGCUAAAUAUUGGCGAGAGACCGAUAGCAAACAAGUACCGUGAGGGAAAGAUGAAAAGAACUUUGAAAAGAGAGUUAAACAGUACGUGAAAUUGUCAAAAGGGAAGCGUUUGACACCAGUGUUGUUUUCUCGAAAAUCAAUUAAAAGAUGUCUCGAUUUUGUGUUGCUUAUGACCUUAUAAGCUCCUGUACAUCUUUUCAGUGUCUUUUUUGAUGCACUUUUCGUUUAACAAGUCAACAUCAGUUUCUUUUGUUGUAAAAGGGUCAUUGGAAGGUGGCUUUCUCUUCGGAGAAAGUGUUUAUAGCCUUUGCCUCAUGCAAUCGGAGAGACUGAGGUCUGCAGCGUAGAUCCUUCGGGGUUAGAUACAUUUGUGCUAAGUUAUAGCUUUUCAUAGACAACUUGUUGACUAUAGUUAGUCUUGUAGCUUACUCGCUUAUGCUAUUUUACCUACGCUUAGGAUGUUGAGUAGCGACAUACGCAC
Molecule: ribosomal RNA, 778 nt
Filed under: uncultured Neocallimastigales
Lineage: Eukaryota; Fungi; Neocallimastigomycota; Neocallimastigomycetes; Neocallimastigales
Description: partial large subunit ribosomal RNA
Rfam family: Eukaryotic large subunit ribosomal RNA
Source: RNAcentral